UAGGGAAUCUUCGGCAAUGGGGGCAACCCUGACCGAGCAACGCCGCGUGAGUGAAGAAGGUUUUCGGAUCGUAAAGCUCUGUUGUAAGAGAAGAACGAGUGUGAGAGUGGAAAGUUCACACUGUGACGGUAACUUACCAGAAAGGGACGGCUAACUAUGUGCCAGCAGCCGCGGUAAUACGUAGGUCCCGAGCGUUAUCCGGAUUUAUUGGGCGUAAAGCGAGCGCAGGCGGUUAGAUAAGUCUGAAGUUAAAGGCUGUGGCUUAACCAUAGUACGCUUUGGAAACUGUUUAACUUGAGUGCAGAAGGGGAGAGUGGAAUUCCAUGUGUAGCGGUGAAAUGCGUAGAUAUAUGGAGGAACACCGGUGGCGAAAGCGGCUCUCUGGUCUGUAACUGACGCUGAGGCUCGAAAGCGUGGGGAGCAAACAGGAUUAGAUACCCUGGUAGUCCACGCCGUAAACGAUGAGUGCUAGGUGUUGGGUCCUUUCCGGGACUCAGUGCCGCAGCUAACGCAUUAAGCACUCCGCCUGGGGAGUACGACCGCAAGGUUG
RNAcentral lists this ribosomal RNA (550 nucleotides) under uncultured bacterium. RNAcentral's name for it is "bacterial SSU rRNA". It matches the Rfam family "Bacterial small subunit ribosomal RNA", at positions 355 to 896 of the family's 1533-position model. The record is from RNAcentral.